GCCUACGGGGCGCAGCAGUAGGGAAUCUUCCACAAUGGGCGAAAGCCAGAUGGAGCAACGCCGCGUGGGUGAAGAAGGUCUUCGGAUCGUAAAACCCUGUUGUUAGAGAAGAAAGUGCGUGAGAGUAACUGUUCACGUUUCGACGGUAUCUAACCAGAAAGCCACGGCUAACUACGUGCCAGCAGCCGCGGCAAUACGUAGGUGGCAAGCGUUAUCCGGAUUUAUUGGGCGUAAAGGGAACGCAGGCGGUCUUUUAAGUCUGAUGUGAAAGCCUUUGGCUUAACCGGAGUAGUGCAUUGGAAACU
RNAcentral lists this ribosomal RNA (305 nucleotides) under uncultured bacterium. RNAcentral describes it as "bacterial SSU rRNA". It matches the Rfam family "Bacterial small subunit ribosomal RNA", at positions 337 to 634 of the family's 1533-position model. The record is from RNAcentral.